AUUGAACGCUGGCGGCAUGCCUUACACAUGCAAGUCGAACGGCAGCACGGGAGCAAUCCUGGUGGCGAGUGGCGAACGGGUGAGUAAUGUAUCGGAACGUGCCCAGUCGUGGGGGAUAACGUAGCGAAAGCUACGCUAAUACCGCAUACGAUCUAUGGAUGAAAGCGGGGGAUCGCAAGACCUCGCGCGAUUGGAGCGGCCGAUAUCAGCUUAGGUAGUUGGUGGGGUACGGGCCCACCAAGCCUGCGAUCUGUAGCUGGUAUGAGAGGACGACCAGACACAAUGGAUCUGGGACACAGUCCCGAGUCAUACGGGAGGCAGCGGUGGGGAAUUUUGGACAAUGGGCUAAAGACUGAUCCAGCAAUGCCGCGUGCAGGAUGAAGGCAUUCGGGUUGUAAACUGCUUUUGGACGAAACGAAACGGCUUUUUUCUAAUACAGAGAGCUAAUGACGGAACCGUAAGAAUAAGCACCGGCUAUCUACGUGCCAGCAGCCGCGGUAA
This 501-nucleotide ribosomal RNA is filed under the name uncultured bacterium. RNAcentral's name for it is "partial 16S ribosomal RNA". It matches the Rfam family "Bacterial small subunit ribosomal RNA", at positions 30 to 523 of the family's 1533-position model. The record is from RNAcentral.